GAUUAUCGAAGGAUUAUAUUUUCAAAGACCUUAAUUCAUAAUC
RNAcentral lists this non-coding RNA (43 nucleotides) under unclassified sequences. RNAcentral describes it as "S4-Flavobacteria ribosomal protein leader". It matches the Rfam family "S4-Flavobacteria ribosomal protein leader". The record is from RNAcentral.